UACGUAGGGUGCAAGCGUUAAUCGGAAUUACUGGGCGUAAAGGGCUCGUAGGCGGCCAACUAAGUCAGACGUGAAAUCCCUCGGCUUAACCGGGGAACUGCGUCUGAUACUGGAUGGCUUGAGUUUGGGAGAGGGAUGCGGAAUUCCAGGUGUAGCGGUGAAAUGCGCAGAUAUCAGGAGGAACACCAAUUGCGAAGGCAGCUCGCUGGGACGUUACUGACGCUGAGACGCGAAAGCGUGGGGAGCAAACAGG
Molecule: ribosomal RNA, 253 nt
Filed under: uncultured bacterium
Lineage: Bacteria
Description: partial 16S ribosomal RNA
Rfam family: Bacterial small subunit ribosomal RNA
Source: RNAcentral